This 791-nucleotide ribosomal RNA is filed under the name uncultured bacterium. RNAcentral describes it as "bacterial SSU rRNA". It matches the Rfam family "Bacterial small subunit ribosomal RNA", at positions 8 to 796 of the family's 1533-position model. The record is from RNAcentral.
AGAGUUUGAUCCUGGCUCAGAUUGAACGCUGGCGGCAUGCCUUACACAUGCAAGUCGAACGGCAGCACGGGGGCAACCCUGGUGGCGAGUGGCGAACGGGUGAGUAAUACAUCGGAACGUGUCCUGUAGUGGGGGAUAGCCCGGCGAAAGCCGGAUUAAUACCGCAUACGAUCUACGGAAGAAAGCGGGGGACCGAAAGGCCUCGCGCUAUAGGGGCGGCCGAUGGCAGAUUAGCUAGUUGGUGGGGUAAAGGCCUACCAAGGCGACGAUCUGUAGCUGGUCUGAGAGGACGACCAGCCACACUGGGACUGAGACACGGCCCAGACUCCUACGGGAGGCAGCAGUGGGGAAUUUUGGACAAUGGGGGAAACCCUGAUCCAGCAAUGCCGCGUGUGUGAAGAAGGCCUUCGGGUUGUAAAGCACUUUUGUCCGGAAAGAAAACCUUCGAGUUAAUACCUUGGGGGGAUGACGGUACCGGAAGAAUAAGCACCGGCUAACUACGUGCCAGCAGCCGCGGUAAUACGUAGGGUGCGAGCGUUAAUCGGAAUUACUGGGCGUAAAGCGUGCGCAGGCGGUUCGUUAAGACAGAUGUGAAAUCCCCGGGCUUAACCUGGGAACUGCAUUUGUGACUGGCGAGCUAGAGUAUGGCAGAGGGGGGUAGAAUUCCACGUAGCAGUGAAAUGCGUAGAGAUGUGGAGGAAUACCGAUGGCGAAGGCAGCCCCCUGGGCCAAUACUGACGCUCAUGCACGAAAGCGUGGGGAGCAAACAGGAUUAGAUACCCUAGUAGUCC